Molecule: long non-coding RNA, 277 nt
Filed under: Elaeis guineensis (African oil palm)
Lineage: Eukaryota; Viridiplantae; Streptophyta; Magnoliopsida; Arecales; Arecaceae
Description: long non-coding RNA (EGUI_LNC074456)
Source: RNAcentral
AGGUGUCCUAUGAUUAUUUUGGUCAAGGGGAUGAAUUAUAUGGAAAUUAUAUCCGCAUGGGUUCUAAGGAUGUUGUUCUACACAUUCGACCUAUCCGGACGUCGGGUACCAUUGCUAGAUGGUCACUUCGAUUGGUAUAGGAAUUUGUUUCUAUGCUACCGGCUUAGGCUCGGACCUAUGAGGUCAUACACAUUAGAGUUCAUAAUCCGAUCGGAUGGUUGAUCAACGAUUAAGAAUCAUUCUAGGGUUAAAUGAUCAAUACGAUUGACAUUUAACC